This 438-nucleotide small RNA is filed under the name Stylissa cf. carteri GW33424. Its description in RNAcentral is "partial large subunit ribosomal RNA". RNAcentral also lists the same sequence under 1 other name. The record is from RNAcentral. Lineage: Eukaryota; Metazoa; Porifera; Demospongiae; Axinellida; Axinellidae.
AAAAGAACUUUGGAGAGAGAGUCAAAAAGACCGCGAAACCGUUAGGAGGGAAACGAAUGCAGCCAAAGUGGCUCUCAUUCAGGCUCAGGAGUUGUCGGUGCGCAGUGCCAGGCUGUUGGACACCGAAGGGUGCGGCAGUCAGGAUACAGCAUGCCGAGCACUCUGCAUUCCUGAUGAGAGUCGGCCAACAGCAGUUACCCCUGACUCGAAAGGGCUGUCGGGAAGGUAGCUUCUUGGUUUACCAGGAAGAACUUAUAGCCAUCGGCCUGGCAGUUGGGGGUGACUGAGGAGUGCUGUGACUUUUCACACCAGCAGUGCAGGCUCCCUAGGGGCCGGGUCGCUUCUGUCCGUGUGGGCAAUGCUUCCGGGACUGCAUGCAGUGUCGGAAGACAUGUGUGUGCUCGGGUGGGAGGUUGGCCACGCCUUGCACUGAAGUUG